UAACUAGGUGCGUACAAAUAAAAGAAACAAUCAAACACAUCAAGCAACCAUUUUCAUUUCUAAACAAGUACAAUGCGAAAAUCAAGUUUCGAGUGAUAUCCUAAAGUUCAACAUUGAUAUGUGUCGCACCAAAAUCAUUCGUCAAAUGAUCACAUGCAAAGCAUAUAAUAUAAUAGGCAUCCAAGCCAUAUAACAUUGGUCCUCAGUUAAUCAAACAAAUGAAUUAGCUGACAAAAGAUCAUUCACCAAACAAUAUGCAUCAUUGAACAUGUUCAUGCUACAUGUAUAUCCAUCUAAUCAAUGCUUAAUUCAUAACUUCCAGCAUGCAAUCAGAAUUGUAACAGAGCACAUGAGACUAUAAAUUGUGAUUGUUUGAUGACAAAUCACCAUGAAAUUGAAGCCAUAUCUUAUCACAAGCACGUAUGAGUCUUUUUGAUCAAAAUGGCAUCAAUUCAUAACCAAACUAACCCUAAGUUAAAAUCAAAUGCACACCCAAUCAUGGUAACAACUUUCAUGGAAAAAGUUUUUUAACGUGAGCUACAUAGAAGUUAAAGAAAAUUCAAGAAUGCACAAUAUUACGUCGAAAUUGCAGCAAAAUAUCGGGAUGUCGUGACACAUUAAUGGUGAUUUGACCUAAAAAGAAAAUCUGAAGAAUAUGAAAUUUUACCAUAGCGCGAACAAAAGAGAGGCAAACAACUUUUGUUAAGGAUCCAAUCUUAGAAUUCCUUAACAAGAAAAUCAUAGAAAAAAUGACGAUGUCAGCUUUGACAAGGAAAAACGGGGGUUAUGAAUUUCAUUUUUAUGACAGAUUUCUAUCAUGCGAAUCACAAGAAAAGUUGAGUUCAAUUGAUAUGCAAAUCAUGUGAAAUCAGCAUCAUAGGAACAAAUUUCACGAGGAAGCCUCUCAAAAUUUUUAACACGUGAGUUUCUAAAAGUUCAAGAACAUGAACAAGUCAAUCAAGAAUAGAACAUAGUAGCAUGUCACACCAUCAUUCUACAACAUAUUGACAACAAUUGGACAAAUCUACUAUCUCAUCUUAAGACUAAUAGCAACUAGCCACAGAAAAGACGGCAUUUCUAUAAUCGAAUCAACUUCAAAAAUCAAAGACAGCAUUUCAUUAUAUAUUGUAACUAAAAGCACGUGAAUUUACAAAAUCCUAGAAGAGAUCAAGGUCCAUCAAAAGUAGAACAGAGCAGCAAGGCAAACAUACAACCAUUUUUUCUGUAGAUGAUGGAAGUGUGGAUCUUCAGGUAAAUCAUUUUUAUCAAUGGCUACCAUCUUAGGGAACAUCUGCAAAAGUGUCUUCAUCUUAUAGAUAUUCCUGUAUAACUGUGGUAGUUUUUUUUAAGCAUCUGGAGCGUUUAUCUUUUGGCCGAAUGGUACAUACCCUAUUGAGCAUGACAGGAAUGCACAUUUUCUUCCAGAAUAUUUCACUCAAGACAGCUCAUGACUGAUGACAGUUUAUAAUUGUAAGUCCUUACAAUAUCUAGGUUCCUUUGACUAUUUUGAGGGGGACCACUGCUGGAUGAAGUACAUCAAAGGAUCAAUUGAUGGACAUAGCAGGCGGUUUGUCAUGCACUCAGUUUUCUCGCCAGAUUGCUAAAAUGCAUUCAUGACACUGCAUCACUAUUAGAUUGUUUCAUCAUGUUCCUAAUGUUGACUAAGCUUUUAGAGGUUUGAGGCCAUUAAUGGCAACCGUAAUGAAGUAUUUGUAUUGACAACUGCAGUUGUGGAAACUCACACAUGAAUCAAUAGAGUAGUAUCUAACAUUAUCUCCAUAUCGAACCACAAUGAUGUCCAACUGAUGAUGGGAUUGAGGAAACAAGCAGCACAUAGGAUUAUUGUGUAUUUACCUAGCUCGCGGCACCAGACAGGAGAUAAGACCCGAGAAAUCGUCCAAAGAGCGAGCCUCCGAUCAAGAGAGUUACUAAUCUCCAGGAGCGAUCCUCAACCAGUCGGAACAGAGAGAAUCUUCGAUCCUGAUGAAGCUAGAUCCGGGUGAGAGCGAUCGAGUGUCUGUAAGAAAAAGAGAAUUAGAGCAGGAAAGAGAAUUCCCGAGCGAAAGAGUCAGCUUGAGUCCCAGAGAGUGUGUGAGAUCUGGAGAACGUCCUCGAGAGAGAGAAACCGUUCGGCCGUUUUUCCUCCGAGAGAGAAUCUGAGCCGAGAGCAUUCGUCUGUUCCGUCACAGUCGUGGCUGCACUGACCGAUAUAGGAAAUUUAGCUGCGGCUAUCACCGAUUGGGAAUGGGAAUACGCCGAGCGCGAAGAUGAUCAGCAUAACUAGGCCAACGACCGCUUCAAGCUCUUCAUCUUCGAAGCCAGAAACAUCACCGGCGAUUUCUUCUCAUUCUCCAUCUUCUUCGACUCUAUCUAUCCAGAAGCACAAACCUCCGAGCGGCAGAACUCCCGAUGGAAGAAAUGAAAACCGAUCGCGAGUGGAGAUCAACUUCGGAUCUCAGUACCAGAGGCAACAGGCCAAAGCAAUGGUGGAGACGAAGGAUGCGACGGUUGGUGACCGGAUUGCGGUAGCGGCGGCGCACGAAUCGAAUCUUCGCCGCGAUGGGAAGAACUUGAAGAUUUGGGAUCCGAGUCGAGUGCAGAGAAAGAGAGAAAGCUUCACGAUGGAGGAUCCUCGAUCUAGGGUUUUUUUUUUUUUUUUUGGUGUGGUGACCCCCAAAGAAAAAUCCCCGAUCAAAAGAGAGAAAACCCCCCCUUUUUAGCUCCGUGGGAGAGAGAGAUCCUGAUGAAGAGAGUGCGGGAGCCCCCCCUCCCCCCCGCGAGAGAGAAUUCCCCGUGCGAGCUAAAACCCCCCUUUUUCUUUUUGUUUUCUUCUUUUUUUUCUUUCUUUCUUUUCUCUCCUUUUUCUUUAUUUCUCCCUUUUUUUUCUUUUUCUUUUUGAUUCCUUUACUUCUUUUUUCUUUCUCUCUAUAUUAUUUUUUUUUCUUUUCAUUUUCAUUUUUUUAUUUUUUUUAUUUUUUUAUAUGUUUUCAAAUUGAAUGUUUAAAACGUCAACAAAAAAUUCCGGGUGUCAACAGCUGCCCCUCUUGGGUGGGAGCUCGAAGAGGUUCCACUCAAAGACAAAAUUGAUACCUGAAAUUUUUAGUCGACUCGGCUUUGAAAAAUAGAAAACGACAAAAGCAAUGAUGGUUGGUUAGGACGUACCUGAUACUUACCUUUGCUCAUCAAGGUAUCUGAACUCUUGUUGGGGUUUAUUCACUCUAUCUCUGUUUCUCUUUCUCGUGGAAUGGAAUGAAGACAAUAAAAUCACUAAAUGAAAAAUGAAUGGUUUAAGGACAACCUACGAACCGUAUGGUUUAGACUGGGAGAAAGGUCUCACCGUGUAAAAACGGGUUUUGACUGGAUGAAAUGUCUCACCGUGUAAAAACGGGUUUCGACUGGGAGAAAUGUCUCACCGUGUAAAAAUGGGUUUUGACUGGAUGAAAUGUCUCACCGUAUACGAACGGGUUUCGAUCGGGUGUGAUAGUCUCACCAUAUACAAAUGGGUUUUGACUGAGAGGAAGGUCUCACCAUAUACAAAUGGGUUUCGACCAAGUAUGAUAGUCUCACCAUAUACAAACGGGUUUCGACUGAGAGGAAUGUCUCACUGUAUAUGAACGGGUUUCGACCGGGUAUGAUAGUCUCACCGUAUACAAACGGGUUUCGACUGAGAGGAAGGUCUCACCAUAUACAAAUGGGUUUCGACCAGGUAUGAUAGUCUCACCGUAUACAAACGGGUUUCGACUGAGAGGAAGGUCUCACCAUAUACAAAUGGGUUUCGACCGGGUAUGAUAAUCUCACCGUAUACAAACGGGUUUCGACUGAAAGGAAGGUCUUUUCGACCAGUUAUUAGUUUCAAAAUUUCUAGAGAACCAAUCUUGCAAAAUAACAUUGAUUGUCAAAUCCUUUUAGAGAAGAUUUUAACAAAAUGGGAUCUGAUUAACCAUCUAAGGGUUAAAUCAAAUAUGCCAAGUGGAAACAUCCUAAUCAAAAGAGGUCUUUCACACUAGCUCUCAAAAAUGGCUUUUGUUCCCAACCAUUGAUAUGGGAAAACUGUUUAAAUCUCACUAGAGAAAUCUCACUCAACCUAUGUCUAAGGUUUUCGGAAACGUUCACAGUGAAUACAACCAAUUGAUCAAAAGGUCUUUUAAAGGGACCGUAAUGAUGGCUUGGUCAUGGGCUUACACAAAGGGUAUGCACUUUGAGGCCAAGAAAUGAAUAUUCAAUCAAUAUCUUCAUCAGGUUUACAAGUCAAGAACCUUGAAGAUAAGAUAAGAUAGGAUUGCUUCCACUCCUUCUAGUGGUAGCUCCUAUGUGAUAUUCUCAUUUCAACUCAAACCAUCCUAAUCAGAAGAGACUUCGGAUAAGGGUUGUAAUGUUGGUUUGGGUGAGGCUUAGAAAGGCUUGAAAAACUUUCAGAUAUCAAAGGGUUAAAAAGUGAGUGAUUAUCUUGGCAUCAUUACCAUCACACGACUUCUCAAAAAUUCGACUCUUGAAAUUUAACCUAUCUCGAGAGUCCUUUUGGUAAUUUGUCUUGAGACAUGAGAGCUUCGCUCUUUGUUCUAAUGACAUUGCUUGCAAUAUAGGUUUUCUUUUGUAAUGCAUUUCUUUUGUUUUUCAAUGAAUGAUCUUUUGCAUGAUCAUGGAUUUCGCUCUUUUUUGCAUUCUUGCUUUUCUUUGCAUUUUUUUUCAUGGGCAUCAGCCUUGCUUUUACCAAGCACACUGCUUUUUCAUGCCCCCUAGUUUUCAUCCUCUUUUGGGUAUCUAGGACUCUUGAGUGGCAUUUACAAACAUUACCAAUAUCCUCAAUUUUGUUGGUAAAUCAGGUGCCUUGCCCCAGUGUGGGGAGAUAAUCAUCACCUGGGGUUAUGAAAGAAUUGCAUAAGGCUCAAAUUGGCUAAGCAAUGGAUAAUUGUGUUUGUGGUAGUGAACGGAAUGCUCUUCGUCACUUUGGGAUGCUUCGAGUUUUGAUAAGAAAUCACCUGAAGUUAGCACAAGAAGAUUGAUACAAGUGAAAGCAAUAAAAUCUUUCUUAAUCUUUUGCUCCAUAAUUUUCAACCAAGACCCCCUAUUUUGCUCCAAUGUGGGGUUGUUCUUGACAGGGUUAUUUUGGAAUGCUCCCUAUUUGGCUUAGAGUGGCUUGCAAGGGAUAUCAAUAGUGUUUGGGAUUGAGAAAUGAAAUGCCUUUAUCAUCUUAAAUCAUGUAUUUACUGUGAAUGAAUCCUAUGCCCUAAGACAUGGUUCUUUCCACUCAAUUCUUUCAAAGAGUGUAUGAGGACGUGUUUGGUAAAAGGGUUGCCUCUCAUCAUUUUAGGCACUACCACCUGGCAUAUUUAACAAUCCUUUUCAGGUUUUUCAAAACCCACUUUAGUUAAAUUCAGCUCCGUGGGGAAAUGAAAAUAUAAUGAAAUUUUGUCUGAAAUGACAUGUUUCCUUGACCCUAUUGGGGAGAUUUUUUGGAAGUAAGAUUGGACAAAAUUUGUAAACAGAACAGGCUUUACUUAGCACAUGGGUUCAUUUCUAGAGUUCUAACUGUACUUCUAGAAUUCUAACCGACUCUUUGUAUUUCUAACUCUUUUGGCAUUCUAANNNNNNNNNNNNNNNNNNNNNNNNNNNNNNNNNNNNNNNNNNNNNNNNNNNNNNNNNNNNNNNNNNNNNNNNNNNNNNNNNNNNNNNNNNNNNNNNNNNNNNNNNNNNNNNNNNNNNNNNNNNNNNNNNNNNNNNNNNNNNNNNNNNNNNNNNNNNNNNNNNNNNNNNNNNUGGCUCAGAUUCAAUCCAAAAAUGGCUCAAAGGCCUUUCACUUUAUUCAUGGAUAAUACUUCUUGACAGAAUCAGCAUUUACAGGUCUUGGCAAUUCAUGACCAUCCAUUUCUACAAGGAUUAGUGCCCCACCGGGUAGCACUUUCUUUACAAUAUAUGGACCUUCAUAGUUUGGAGUAAACUUCCCACGAUGAUCUAGAAUGAUAGGUAAAACCUUCCUCAAGACAAGAUCGUUGAUCUCAAAAUGUCUUGGUCUAACUUUGCGAUUAAAUGACCUAGCUACUCUCUUCUGAUAGCUUUGUCCAUGGCAUAAGGCUUUUACCCUCUUUUCAUCAAUCAUAUUAAGUUGUUCAAAUCUUUGUUGAACCCAUUCAGCUUCAGAGAGCUUGAUUUGAGAAAGUACCCUUAGUGAAGGAAUUUCCACUUCCACGGGUAAUACAGCUUCCAUCCCAUAAACCAAUGAGAAUGGUGUUGCCCCAGUUGAAGUACGAAUUGAAGUUCAAUAAGCAAACAAAGCAUAUGGCAACCAAUCAUGCCAAUCACGAUAAUUUUCUGCCGUUUUAGCCAAAAUCUUCUUGAUGUUCUUAUUUGCCGCUUCCACAGCUCCAUUCAUUUGUGGGCAGUAAGGAGAAGAAUUCAAAUGGCGAAUGUGGAAUUCUCCAAGUAAAUCAUCCACCACUUUAUUGUUCAAGUUUGAUCCAUUAUCUGUGAUGAUCGCUUCAGGAACUCCAUAUCGGGCGAUGAUAUCUCGACAGAUGAAUUUUGCCACACUCUUUGUAGUAACAUGGGCAUAAGAAUUGGCUUCAAUCCAUUUGGUGAAGUAAUCAAUUGCUACUAAGAUAAAACGAUGUCCAUUUGAUGCUUUAGGAUUAAUUAGUCCGAUGAUGUCAAUGCCCCACAUUGAAAAAGGCCAGGACUCAGACAUUUGAUGUAACUCAUUAGGAGGAGCAUUGAUUUUGUCUCCAUAGACUUGGCAUUGAUGACAACACAUCACAUGCUGAAUACAAUCGGCUUCCACAGUCAACCAAUAAUAACCGAGCCUCAUAAUUUUUCUAGCCAAGAGAUGGCCAUUCAUAUGUGGACCACACUCUCCUUCAUGUAUUUCUUUCAUUAGGAGUUUAGCUUCUUGUGCGUCCACGCAUUUCAGUAAAACUAAAUCGAAAGACCUUUUAUAGAGAGCUCCUCCACUGAGGAAGAAUUUGGAUGCCAACUUCAUCAAGUAUUUUCGAUCAUUAACUUGACUCCCUUGGGGGAAUUUGCCUUUUCGAAGGUAAUUCAUGAUGUCAUAGUACCAGGGUUGACCAUCAGGUUCUUCUUCUAUCAACAGGCAAUAAGCAGGCUUUUUCAAAACGUUGAUUUGCAAAGGAUCAACGCUCAAACCAUCAGCUACUUGCAACAUCGAAGAUAAAGUUGCCAAGGCAUCGGCAAACUGAUUUUGUGAUCUCGACAGAUAAUCAAAAGAGAUCUCGUCAAAUUCUUUGACUAAGUCUUCGAGAUAUUCGUGGUAAGGGAUUAAUUUUACAUCCCGUGUUUGCCAUUCACCUUCCGUCUGGUGGAUGAUGAGUGCAGAAUCACCAUAAACUUGAAGCUUUCUGAAUUUCAUAUCGAUGGCUAAUUGCAAGCCAAGGAUGCAUGCUUCAUAUUCAGAAAUAUUGUUGGUACAAGGGAAUACCAAUUUGCAGCUACUGGAUAAUGUUGAUCUUCCGAGGAUAUUAAAACUGCCCCAGUGCCAGAACUAGAAAGGUUAACUACACCGUCAAAAUACAUGGUCCACUUGUCAGGCGAAACCAAAUAAAUCCGUUCAUCGAUUUCAUCCCAAUCAUUAGAUUUCUCGGGAUUUUCGGCUAACAUAUCAGCUAUGGCUCGCCCUUUGAUGGACUUUUGUGCCAUGCUUUGAAUAUCAAACUCAGAGAGUAAUAUUUGCCAUUUGGCGAGCCUUCCAACCAAUGCAGGCUUUUCCAAAAGAUAUUUGAUUGGGUCAUUCUCAGUCACCAAAAGGAUGCGGUGAUGCAAAGUAUAUUGUCUCAGUCAGUGUAAAACUCAAAUCAAGGCUACACAGGUCUUUUCCACCUUAAGAUAUCGAAUCUCGGAAGUAGUAAACUUCUUACUGAGGUAAUAUAUGGCACGUUCUAUUCCAUCCCUUGGUCCUUUUUGUGCUAACAUGGCUCCUAAAGACUCCUCAUGAAUGGUGAGAUAUAGGAUCAGAGGCGCGCCUUGGAUAGGUGGUACAAGUACAGGAGAUUGCGAAAGAUAUUGCUUCAGUUCUUCAAAUGAUUUCUGACAUUCUUCAUCCCAGUUGACCUUAGCGUUCUUCUUUAAUAACUUGAAGAAUGGCUUAGCAGCUUCUGACAAUUGAGAGAUAAAUCUUGCAACAUAAUUCAAUCUUCCUAAUAAACUUCGGACUUCUUUAACAGUAGAAGGAGGUUUCAAAUCGCAUAUGGCCUUCACCUUAGAGGGAUCUAUCUUGAUACCCUUGUUACUAACCAUAAAUCCAAGAAGCUUUCCAGACUUUGCCCCAAAUAUGCAUUUUGCGGGGUUAAGCCUCAGCUUAAAUUUCCUCAAACGGUCAAAUAAUCUUCUUAAGAUUUCAACAUGAUCUUCAUCUUCUCUUGACUUUGCAAUCAUGUCAUCAACAUAAACUUCAAUCUCCUUAUGCAUCAUGUCAUGGAAUAGUGUCACCAUGGCUCUUUGAUAUGUUGCCCCUGCAUUCUUUAAGCCAAAGGACAUAACUUUGUAGCAAAAUGUUCCCCAUGGGGUGAUGAAUGAAGUUUUAGUCUUAUCAUCCUCUUUCAUCCGGAUUUGGUUAUAACCAGAAAAUCCAUCCAUGAAGGAGAACAAUUCAAAUCCGGCAAUACUGUCAACUAAAAGAUCAAUGUGCGGCAAAGGAAAAUCGUCCUUAGGGCUUGCCUUAUUCAGAUCACGGUAAUCAACACAUACUCGGACUCGUCUAUCCUUUUUCAUAACCGGGACUAUAUUAGCAAUCCAAUCCGCAUACUGGGUGACUUCAAUGAAACCAACAUUUAAGAGCUUCAUGACUUCCUCUUCAAUCUUUUUCGACAAUUCAGGUUUCGUCCUUCUAAGCUUUUGCUUCUUCGGUAGAAUAUUAGGAUCAAGUGGUAACGCAUGUUCCACAAUCUCAAGAUCUAAACCUGGCAUAUUGACAUACGACCAAGCAAAAAUAUCUCGAUAUUCUUUCAAAAGCCCAAUUAGUCUAUUGGCAUCUGCUUGAGAGAGACCCGCCCCAAUCUUGGUUUCUUUAGGGUUGUCUGAAUCUCCCAAAUUUACAGUGACUGGUUGUUCGGUGGUAGGAGGUUUGGACUCUUCAUGUAUGAGCCACUCUUUUUCAAUACCUCGAUGAUCAUCCUCAUUCUCUGAAUCGGAAUAAUGGGGUUCGUCAAAAUCUUUUGAAUGCGAAUCCGAGCCAUGUGAAUGACUAUCGUGAUGUGAAAUGUCAUGCCUGAGAUGUAAUUGAAAAAAAAUGGUUAGUAUAUGUACACCUAAAUGAAUAUAAUGUAUGUAAAUGUCAUGAAAAAUUUGUUUUCAAGUUCAAGUUUUAUUGGGAACUAGCCCUCAUGUCAUUGGACGUCUUCGUUCCACCAAAACAUUUUGAAACUAUAGAUCGUGUGGAGGCUCAGGCCUCAAAGCAUCAUCAUAGGACUAAUUUGGGCCUCACACGUCUAUUAACAAAACAUGAAUUUUAUUGAUAUGCAAAAAUUGCAUUACAACGUAUAUCAUCUUGGAUCUAGAAAGUUUAUGAUCUAGAUUAUUACAAACACAAACGAAUAAAAUGAAUAGAAUUUCCUCGCAGGGGAGAAAUGAAUGAAAUUCCCUCAUAGGGGAGAAAUGAAUGGAAUACAACUAAAAAUUAAGUACAAGAACUAGAAACAUCCCUUACACAGUGGGAAUUGUAUGCUCUUCAUCUUCACUAAUAGUGCCAACUAGACCAUCUUCAAACAAAUCAGCAAAGUGAUAGACAUUGGCCUCUUCUUCUUGCAAGAGCUUAGGCGGACCAGGAAAGAAAUCUUUCAAAGGUAGAGGCAAGAGACGUUGGUAGCUUUUACCCUUGAUGUUUGGGCCUUUGCGAUUACCUUGACCCUUACGAUCGCCUUGAUAACCCAGGCCUUCACGCUUGUUGAUUUUGACCACUUUAAUAGGAUCUGGCAUGCCUUGGGCUGACUUACCCAAACCUUUCCCCAUAGCAAAACCAUUUUUGAGCAAUUCUCUACUUGCCAUCAGGGAGGCCUCUGAGAACCGAGGCUUUCUAAUAAUCGACCCAACAGGCACAUGAGUGACAGACACCAUCUCAAACAAGUGAUAGCUCGACUCUCCCUUGACCUCAGGCUCAAUGAAAGGUAUGGCCGUGUUAUGGAAAGUCUCCACAUCUCUUUCACGUCGAAUAGUCACAAUCUUUCCAUCGAUAGGAAGUUUCAUCAUCUGAUGAAGACUGGAAGGAAUAAUUCCUGCAGCAUGGAUCCAAGGCCGUCCCAGUAGCAGGCUAAAGUUGCUUGGGAUAUCCAGUACUUGAAACUUUUGAGUCAUGGUAAUAGGGCCAAUUGUCAGUGGUAAAUCGAUUUCCCUUAUUGUUUCUCUCUUCAUCCCAUCAAAGGCUCGAACAGGAAUUGUUGGAGAAGAGACAUUUUCCAUUCCUAUCCCCAAUUUAUGAAGGGUGGAUAAAGGGAAAAUGUUCAAGGAAGAGCCAUUAUCGAUCAGGACCUUCGAAAUCUUUGUCUCAAAAUGUUGAGCAGACACAUAUAACGCCUUAGUGUGUGCUUGGCCCUCAGGAGGGAGGUCUCUCUCAGAGAAAGUAAUUUGAUCUCUUAGAAGUAUUGCACCCACAAACUCCUCCAAUUGUACUUCUCCAAUAGCCUCGGGUACAUGAACUUCAUUUAAAAUUUUGAGGAGAGCAUUUCUAUGCUUUUCAGAGGUCUUGAAGAGCUCCAAUAGAGAAUCUGCGCAGGCAUCUUGCGCAAUUGAUCAAUCACUUCAGCCUCACUUGUCUUGAGUGUUUUGAGGAGUUGUUUAGCUUCCUCAUCAGUUACGGCCUUCUUUUCCUCACCUUCACGUGGUGGGUAGAUUCGACCCGAUCGGGUGACGGCGUCGAUUUCAUUUGUAUUAUAAUUCCAAGGGACCGCCCUAGUGUCAAAAGUAGGAAUCACUUUAGUGUUGGAACAUUCACCUAAUUCUGGUGGUAACUCGAUCACAACAGGACCAAAACCCGUGUUAGAGAUCUUCAUGGCUCCAAAAUUAUCAACCAAUGAGCCGACUUCGAUGACACUCUUAGCAGUUGUAUCACUCCCACAUGGGAUUUUUCCUUUAGUCAAAUCAAUUACAACAGGUUCAAUCAUAGCCAUGAAUUCAUCCUUGAAUUCCUCUCCCCAUCCACUAGGGACAAUGUCUUUAGAGUUUUGGAAAUAACUUGGAGGAGUAUACUUGACUAUAAAGUCGUAUUUCCCACUUGGUUGUCCCAAGGUGUCUACCACUUCACCCUUCUCAUGGGCUUUCCUCACAAAUUCACGGUCUGAAUGGGAAGUUUUGUAUUCAUCCUCUUCUUCGCUAUAGGAGUAGACCUCUUUAUCCUUUGGCAAAAUUGAAAUAAGGUCUUCUUCAUCAUGAAUGACGUGACCUUUCAACUGGUGAUCAUCGAAUGGCAUGCUCUGUUUCAUCUCCUGGGUAUCCAUCAAGGGUAUAUCUUCGUCAACAUCCCCAUAAAUCAUGUUGACAUUUUCAGAAUGCUUUGGAAGAUGAUUUUGUUGGACAUUCGAUGCUGAAUCCUUGAAGGUGAGCAGCUUUUUAUCCAGCAAAUUAUGGAUCUUAUAACGGAGCACAAAACAAUUAUCUACAUUAUGACCUUUUUCACCCAUAUGAUAUUCACAUAUCUUAUUAAGGUCGAAUCCGGCAAACUUUGGCGGAUUAUUCCUUGGGAUCUCUUUUGCAACAAGAUGAUUUUCGAUUAGCAUUGGAAGUAGUUGAGACAUGGGCCUAGGUAGUGGGGUAAAUUGCCUUUGAAGGGUUUUUCCUUUGUACUCAAAAUUUCUGGAAGAACCCCCUACUUCCAUGGCAGGUUUAUGAAUUUGAGGAUUAUAUGGCUUCUGAGAAGAGAAAUUUUGUACAUAGGCGAUCUCCACAGUCGAUUCUUUAUCCCUCUUCGGGGUAUAUCGACGAUUUGUGUUCUCAGACAACCUUCCUUCUCGCAUAAUCUCCUCGAUGCGUUCUCCCAACUCUACAAAUGUAGCAAAGUUCAUACAAGUAUGGUUGUACAUCUUCUCAAAAAGAUCAUGGGGCAUAGCCUGAAGCAGCAAUUUCAUCGUCUCUUUCUCAGACAAUGGCGGUUUCACUUGAGACGCAGUGACCCUCCACCUUUGAGCGUAGGCCCUAAAUGAUUCAGUUCUUCUUUUCUCAACCCAAACCAAUUCCUCUUGAGUCGGAGCAAUUUCAGUAUUGAAUUUGUAUUGCUGAAGGAAUUCAUCAACGAGAUCCUCCCAAGUACGGAUUUUCUCCAUGUCCAACUCUAUAAACCAAGUUAAAUGAAUUGAUCAGAAGUGGGGGAUUAUCUUAAUAACGAGCCAUCUUGCCUAGAUAGUACUUCAAAUGAGUCUUCGGACAUCCGAUGCCGUCGUAUUUCCUUGUGAACUCCGGCUCCUUAUAAAAUUCAGGGACCGUAAUUUUGGCAAAGGGCGAUAGUUUAUCAAACCCCUACAACUGAUAGCCUUGCAGCAUGCAAAGGCGUUCUUCGAUCUUGGCGAGGUGCCUUGCAUUUUCUUCAUCAAAGUGCGAAGUUGGUAUCUCUUUAGAUUGAGGCUCUGGACCGAUAACUAUCGGGAUUGCAGUGGGGAUCUCUUCUACAGGCCCUUUUGCCACAGGCUCUACUACAGGCACUUCAGGGGGCGCGGUAGGAAUAUUCAUGGUAGAAGAAGUAGAUGUCAAGUUUUUGAUUUGGCUAGAGAGAUCGGCCAAUAACGUCAUCAUUUGUGCCAUUUGAUUCUCCAUAUUAAUGACACGGGCUCGGGUAUCUUCAUUUUCCAUCUUUGUUUGGCGGCGAGUUCGUAUAACAAAUCUUUCUUCAGCCGUUUUUUCAAAACCUCCUGUAAAAUAAAAUGACUCGAAUUAGUACCGAUCAAAAGAAACCAUUAAAGUACAAAUCCUAGUCAAUUUUAUAUUUUCUUGAGAUGAAAUAAUGAUAAGAAGUGUAUAUGAUCCCAGUAUCAUAUAACCUCCUCUUAUCAAAAUUUCUUCAAAAGAAAUUAUACAAUUGAAAAGGAACGACGACAAAUAUUUAAUCAGAAUGCCCCUUUUCUAGAAGUUACAUGAAAAAUGUUCAUGAAUUUCAUUCAUUUCAAUCGAACAAUUACAAGGGAAAACAAAACCUUGCUUUCUUGAAGCUUACAAAGUAGUUCGACUUUACAUGCGAUGUUUACAUGGGAUAUGAAAAUGAAUACAAGUAAACCUCAAUAGAAAGGAGGGAAACACAAAUGAAAUCCCUUUACAAGAAAAGCAUAUGAAAUGAAAACCUAAGUACUAGGCGAGAUCGUGCGGAGACGCUUGUUUUCAUGGGCUAAGCAUUCCUCAUCGAUCAAGACACUGUUUUCUUGCUCCUGAAUAUGAGCUUGUUGAAGUCUUUGAGGCUCGGGAACAUCCGGCAACUGAACCUUGAGCUCGGGUUCUACUUGACAGUAUAUGUAAUCGAUGGUAGCUUGAUGGGUCUUCAUCUCUCCUUCCAAAUCAGCUUCAUCGAUGGCAACCACGUGAUGCGAGGAAUGGGAGUACCAAAUCCCAAUAGCAGCUUGAAUUGCGGCCUUGAUAUGGUCAAUUUGGUUUUCCUUGAUGACUUCAUUGUGAUAAUCAAUACGAUAUAACCCCAGCUUGAGGAUUGGCGGGAUCGUUUGAAGCGCGCGAUAUUGGCGGAGUACCCUUAAAGGGUAAUAUGACGUUAAACCGUCAGUCCCACGAGGGGAAGUGGAUUGUCAACUCCACUAAAAAGGCGCACCUCGGGAUUCCCAAGCCAUCGAGCAUGCCAUUGAAUUAAGCUAUGGUUGAGAUUUUUAAGGAAAUGGAACCACAUAGAGAAAGACCAUGAUGGAAAGGAUUCGUUUCGUUGGGAAAAUCUAAGAAUUGGAUGAUGAUGUUUUGUGACAUCAAUAAUCUUCAUGUGAGGGCAAACUCUUUGAUAUGUGAAAAGAGCCAAAUUUGGAGAAGUCCUAAUGGGGCUCUAAGAGUUCCUCAACCAUUUGCUUUAAAUCGAUUAAAAGACACAAAAGUUUCGGCAAUGAUCAUAUGUGUGAAACAAUUAAAUGCGCACACUUGGUUGACAAUGUGUGUGACUAAAGGAUCCAUUGUUUUUCGGGUAUAUGGGAAAAUCACAAAACCAAAGAAUAUGAGUAGGAAGACACGAGGAAUUUGGUUCCCAGAUUUUGGCUCAAGGCUACGGAAAUGUUUUUCGAGGAAAUUAUAAGGCAUGGCAUGAGAGUUUCCAUUAAGAAUAGCUUCAAUUUUAUCAUAAGGGAUAUUGAGGAAUUGACUUAGAAGAGAUAUUGGAUUUUGGCCAAUAGGAGGAGUAACAAAACCUAAAGAAGCUUUACCUAAUCCAAUGGCUUUUUGGAACUCCUCAAUUGUAGGGGUCAAUUCACAUUGAUUAAACACGAAAGUAGAAGUCACAGGAUUCCAAAAAUGAGCCAAUAUUGCAAUACGUGGUUCGACUUUUAAUAAAGUCGGGAGGAAGCCUAUGCGCUUUUCCUCGUAGUCUUGAUGUCUUGGGUCGAGAUUCUCCCAUAAAGUCUUGAGAUUCCAGGCACAGGGAUCACGUCUACUUCAGGUCUACCCAUCUAAUCUAAACCUAAAGGGGCAUACAUGAUUAAACAUAUCGUCGCUGAAAUAUAGAAUUGCAUAAUUGAAAUAUGGAAAGUAAAAAAAUAAGCACGAUGAAAAAGGAAAAUAUCUUACCCACCAGACACAUGACAAGCACAAAUCACAUGUCGUAUGAAACUGUGAGGUUUUAACGCCUAAGGUGAGGGUACUAAAAGCUCAAGGUCUUCAUCCCAAAGGAUAAAAAUAGUUUACCCACCGCUACUAUCGUCGGUCAGUGCUAUUUUUAUCGGUUGGGAUGAGCGGGUUUAUGUAAGUAAUGGAUUACCACGAGCAUCCACUCGCAUAUUCCACCCAUAAACCCUCCUAAGGUCCUAGAUUGGGUGAUCGGGGUUUUAGACCGCGGUUGUGUGUGCGGUGUCAUGCUAAAGUUGGUAAACAUGCAUUUAAAUUUAAACAUCCAGCACUUCAAUAUAAACCCACAUACAUUUAUUCAUCCUUACACCACCUGCAAAACAAAGGGUUUACAAGCACACCUCCCCUUAUAACUCCCACCUACAAUACCAUUUAACAUAAGGUUAGUGACUAACCUGAUUUUCCACGCGACUUUGACAUGCAGGCGAUCCUACAUAAGACAUGUUAGUUAAAACACAACAACCAUUUUUAAAUGGCUUCAAGUCCUUUAACCUAGUAACCAGUCCCCAGCGGAGCCGCCAAGCCUGUCGCGACCCGGAUCUCGCCGCCCCUCGAAAUGGUAUCCAAGGAGGGGAAAGGUCGGGUUUAGGGAUACUUAAUCUCGAGAUCACGAGCUCUCCCAAGCUCGUACCCCGCGUGACAGCGAAUUUAUUUAUAUGAUCUAGGUAUUUAACAACCUAAAAAUAUAUAGGAGUCGCCACUAGCCUCAUUUUUUGGGGGUCGGCUAGAAACCCAAUCGAGGGUCGGGAGUAUUCCCUCGAUUCCUACGCAACCAGAUAUCUAGAUUCGGAGACUUGGGUUACGCUAAUAUUGCUAUUAGCGCCCUUUCGGUACCUAAACAGUAUGUUGUGUUUUUCCUAACAUGUCCAUGCAUUUUUUUAUAUUUUCAGGAUCGUCGAUUCUAUACUAAAUGAUCAUGUGUGUUGGAUUACUUUCAUUCUAUUCUAUUUCUAAAAAAAAAAUGAAAAGAAACCAAUCAAUGAAAUUGAAAUUGCAAGACAUGAAGUAAACAAUCAAGAGAAAGCGGUAAACCUAAUCAUGCAAUUCUAAAAGAAAGUAUAAAAGAGAAAUAUAUGGGAAAAAGAGAGAAAAACCCGCAACUCGUCGGGUUUUAUACAACAAAUGGAGCCCGAGACAUAUGUCGGGAAAAUGGGUAUUACAUGAAAAUGGUCGGAAUGGACAUCGACCUCCACCAUCUUCACGCCUCUCCAUCUUCAAGGUCCUAAUCUAAACCUAAUCUAAAACACUAAUAACUAGGUGCGUACAAAUAAAAGAAACAAUCAAACACAUCAAGCAACCAUUUUCAUUUCUAAAGAAGUACAAUGUGAAAAUCAAGUUUCGAGUGAUAUCCUAAAGUUCAACAUUGAUAUGUGUCGCACCAAAAUCGUUCGUCAAAUGAUCACAUGCAAAGCAUAUAAUAUGACAGGCAUCCAAGCCAUAUAACAUUGGUCCUCAGUUAAUCAAACAAAUGAAUUAGCUGACAAAAGAUCAUUCACCAAACAAUAUGCAUCAUUGAACAUGUUCAUGCUACAUGUAUAUCCAUCUAAUAAAUGCUUAAUCCAUAACUUCCAGCAUGCAAUCAGAAUUGUAACAGAGCACAUGAGACUAUAAAUUGUGAUUGUUUGAUGACAAAUCACCAUGAAAUUGAAGCCAUAUCUUAUCACAAGCACGUAUGAGUCUUUUUGAUCAAAAUGGCAUCAAUUCAUAACCAAACUAACCGCAAGUUAAAAUCAAAUGCACACCCAAUCAUGGUAGCAACUUUCAUGGAAAAAGUUUUUUAACGUGAGCUACAUAGAAGUUAAAGAAAAUUCAAGAAUGCACAAUAUUAUGUCGAAAUUGCAGCAAAAUAUCGGGAUGUCGUGACACAUUAAUGGUGAUUUGACCUAAAAAGAAAAUCUGAAGAAUAUGAAAUUUUACCACAGCGCGAACAAAAGAGAGGCAAACAACUUUUGUUAAGGAUCCAAUCUUAGAAUUCCUUAACAAGAAAAUCACAGAAAAAAUGAUGAGGUCAGCUUUGACAAGGAAAAACGGGGGUUAUGAAUUUCAUUUUUAUGACAGAUUUCUAUCAUGCGAAUCACAAGAAAAGUUGAGUUCAAUUGAUAUGCAAAUCAUGUGAAAUCAGCAUCAUAAGAACAAAUUUCACGAGGAAGCCUCUCAAAAUUUUUAACACGUGAGUUUCUAAAAGUUCAAGAACAUGAACAAGUCAAUCAAGAAUAGAACAUAGUAGCAUGUCACACCAUCAUUCUACAACAUAUUGACAGCAAUUGGACAAAUCUAUUAUCUCAUCUUAAGACUAACAGCAACUAGCCACAGAAAAGACAGCAUUUCUAUAAUCGAAUCAACUUCAAAAAUCAAAGACAACAUUUCAUUAUAUAUUGUAACUAAAAGCACGUGAAUUUACAAAAUCCUAGAAGAGAUC
Molecule: long non-coding RNA, 17170 nt
Filed under: Eucalyptus grandis
Lineage: Eukaryota; Viridiplantae; Streptophyta; Magnoliopsida; Myrtales; Myrtaceae
Description: long non-coding RNA (EGRA_LNC001596)
Source: RNAcentral